This 433-nucleotide ribosomal RNA is filed under the name uncultured bacterium. RNAcentral's name for it is "bacterial SSU rRNA". It matches the Rfam family "Bacterial small subunit ribosomal RNA", at positions 29 to 507 of the family's 1533-position model. The record is from RNAcentral.
AACGAACGCUGGCGGCAUGCCUAACACAUGCAAGUCGAACGAAGGCUUCGGCCUUAGUGGCGCACGGGUGCGUAACGCGUGGGAAUCUGCCCUUUGCUUCGGAAUAACAGUUAGAAAUGACUGCUAAUACCGGAUGAUGUCGUAAGACCAAAGAUUUAUCGGCAAAGGAUGAGCCCGCGUAAGAUUAGGUAGUUGGUGGGGUAAUGGCCUACCAAGCCGACGAUCUUUAGCUGGUCUGAGAGGAUGAUCAGCCACACUGGGACUGAGACACGGCCCAGACUCCUACGGGAGGCAGCAGUGGGGAAUAUUGGACAAUGGGCGAAAGCCUGAUCCAGCAAUGCCGCGUGAGUGAUGAAGGCCUUAGGGUUGUAAAGCUCUUUUACCAGGGAUGAUAAUGACAGUACCUGGAGAAUAAGCUCCGGCUAACUCCGUG